RNAcentral lists this ribosomal RNA (742 nucleotides) under Rothia mucilaginosa. RNAcentral describes it as "bacterial SSU rRNA". It matches the Rfam family "Bacterial small subunit ribosomal RNA", at positions 28 to 776 of the family's 1533-position model. Lineage: Bacteria; Bacillati; Actinomycetota; Actinomycetes; Micrococcales; Micrococcaceae. The record is from RNAcentral.
GACGAACGCUGGCGGCGUGCUUAACACAUGCAAGUCGAACGAUGAAGCCUAGCUUGCUAGGUGGAUUAGUGGCGAACGGGUGAGUAAUACGUGAGUAACCUACCUUUAACUCUGGGAUAAGCCUGGGAAACUGGGUCUAAUACCGGAUACGACCGAUCUCCGCAUGGGGUGUUGGUGGAAAGCGUUAUGUAGUGGUUAUAGAUGGGCUCACGGCCUAUCAGCUUGUUGGUGAGGUAACGGCUCACCAAGGCGACGACGGGUAGCCGGCCUGAGAGGGUGACCGGCCACACUGGGACUGAGACACGGCCCAGACUCCUACGGGAGGCAGCAGUGGGGAAUAUUGCACAAUGGGCGCAAGCCUGAUGCAGCGACGCCGCGUGAGGGAUGACGGCCUUCGGGUUGUAAACCUCUGUUAGCAGGGAAGAAGAGAAAUUGACGGUACCUGCAGAGAAAGCGCCGGCUAACUACGUGCCAGCAGCCGCGGUAAUACGUAGGGCGCGAGCGUUGUCCGGAAUUAUUGGGCGUAAAGAGCUUGUAGGCGGUUUGUCGCGUCUGCUGUGAAAGGCCGGGGCUUAACCCCGUGUAUUGCAGUGGGUACGGGCAGACUAGAGUGCAGUAUGGGAGACUGGAAUUCCUGGUGUAGCGGUGGAAUGCGCAGAUAUCAGGAGGAACACCGAUGGCGAAGGCAGGUCUCUGGGGCUGUAACUGACGCUGAGAAGCGAAAGCAUGGGGAGCGAACAGG